UGCAGUCGAACGGUAGCACAGAGAGCUUGCUCUCGGGUGACGAGUGGCGGACGGGUGAGUAAUGUCUGGGAAACUGCCUGAUGGAGGGGGAUAACUACUGGAAACGGUAGCUAAUACCGCAUAACGUCGCAAGACCAAAGAGGGGGACCUUCGGGCCUCUUGCCAUCAGAUGUGCCCAGAUGGGAUUAGCUAGUAGGUGGGGUAACGGCUCACCUAGGCGACGAUCCCUAGCUGGUCUGAGAGGAUGACCAGCCACACUGGAACUGAGACACGGUCCAGACUCCUACGGGAGGCAGCAGUGGGGAAUAUUGCACAAUGGGCGCAAGCCUGAUGCAGCCAUGCCGCGUGUAUGAAGAAGGCCUUCGGGUUGUAAAGUACUUUCAGCGGGGAGGAAGGUGUUGUGGUUAAUAACCGCAGCAAUUGACGUUACCCGCAGAAGAAGCACCGGCUAACUCCGUGCCAGCAGCCGCGGUAAUACGGAGGGUGCAAGCGUUAAUCGGAAUUACUGGGCGUAAAGCGCACGCAGGCGGUCUGUCAAGUCGGAUGUGAAAUCCCCGGGCUCAACCUGGGAACUGCAUUCGAAACUGGCAGGCUAGAGUCUUGUAGAGGGGGGUAGAAUUCCAGGUGUAGCGGUGAAAUGCGUAGAGAUCUGGAGGAAUACCGGUGGCGAAGGCGGCCCCCCUGCACAAAGACUGA
This 696-nucleotide ribosomal RNA is filed under the name Enterobacter ludwigii. RNAcentral describes it as "bacterial SSU rRNA". It matches the Rfam family "Bacterial small subunit ribosomal RNA", at positions 56 to 743 of the family's 1533-position model. The record is from RNAcentral. Lineage: Bacteria; Pseudomonadati; Pseudomonadota; Gammaproteobacteria; Enterobacterales; Enterobacteriaceae.